Molecule: ribosomal RNA, 273 nt
Filed under: uncultured bacterium
Lineage: Bacteria
Description: partial 16S ribosomal RNA
Rfam family: Bacterial small subunit ribosomal RNA
Source: RNAcentral
CCCGGGGCGACCGGCGCACGGGUGAGUAACACGUAUGAAACCUGCCCGUAGCAGGGGGAUAAGCGGAAGAAAUUCCGUCUAAUACCGCGUAACAACCCAUGGAGGCAUCUCUGUGGGUUUAAAGGAAGCGAUUCCGGCUACGGAUGGUCAUGCGUCGCAUUAGCUUGUUGGCGGGGUAACGGCCCACCAAGGCGACGAUGCGUAGGGGUUCUGAGAGGAAGGUCCCCCACACUGGUACUGAGACACGGACCAGACUCCUACGGGAGGCAGCAG